This 450-nucleotide ribosomal RNA is filed under the name uncultured organism. RNAcentral describes it as "partial 16S ribosomal RNA". It matches the Rfam family "Bacterial small subunit ribosomal RNA", at positions 333 to 799 of the family's 1533-position model. The record is from RNAcentral.
ACACUCCUACGGGAGGCAGCAGUGGGGAAUAUUGGACAAUGGGCGCAAGCCUGAUCCAGCCAUGCCGCGUGAGUGAUGAAGGCCCUAGGGUUGUAAAGCUCUUUCACCGGAGAAGAUAAUGACGGUAUCCGGAGAAGAAGCCCCGGCUAACUUCGUGCCAGCAGCCGCGGUAAUACGAAGGGGGCUAGCGUUGUUCGGAAUUACUGGGCGUAAAGCGCACGUAGGCGGAUCGAUCAGUCAGGGGUGAAAUCCCAGGGCUCAACCCUGGAACUGCCGUUGAUACUGUCGAUCUGGAGUAUGGAAGAGGUGAGUGGAAUUCCGAGUGUAGAGGUGAAAUUCGUAGAUAUUCGGAGGAACACCAGUGGCGAAGGCGGCUCACUGGUCCAUUACUGACGCUGAGGUGCGAAAGCGUGGGGAGCAAACAGGAUUAGAAACCCCGGUAGUCCCAUG